This 923-nucleotide ribosomal RNA is filed under the name uncultured Bacteroidota bacterium. RNAcentral describes it as "bacterial SSU rRNA". It matches the Rfam family "Bacterial small subunit ribosomal RNA", at positions 1 to 917 of the family's 1533-position model. Lineage: Bacteria; Pseudomonadati; Bacteroidota. The record is from RNAcentral.
UGGAUCCAGACUUUGAUUAUGGCUCAGGAUGAACGCUAGCUACAGGCUUAACACAUGCAAGUCGAGGGGCAGCAUGAACUUAGCUUGCUAAGUUUGAUGGCGACCGGCGCACGGGUGAGUAACACGUAUCCAACCUUCCGUUUACUCAGGGAUAGCCUUUCGAAAGAAAGAUUAAUACCUGAUAGUAUGGUGAGAUUGCAUGAUAACACCAUUAAAGAUUCAUUGGUAAACGAUGGGGAUGCGUUCCAUUAGGUAGUAGGCGGGGUAACGGCCCACCUAGCCAACGAUGGAUAGGGGUUCUGAGAGGAAGGUCCCCCACAUUGGAACUGAGACACGGUCCAAACUCCUACGGGAGGCAGCAGUGGGGAAUAUUGGUCAAUGGGCGCGAGCCUGAACCAGCCAAGUAGCGUGAAGGAUGAAGGUCCUACGGAUUGUAAACUUCUUUUAUAAGGGGAUAAAGUCGCCUACGUGUAGGCGUUUGUAUGUACCUUAUGAAUAAGCAUCGGCUAACUCCGUGCCAGCAGCCGCGGUAAUACGGAGGAUGCGAGCGUUAUCCGGAUUUAUUGGGUUUAAAGGGAGCGUAGACGGAGGAUUAAGUCAGUUGUGAAAGUUUGCGGCUCAACCGUAAAAUUGCAGUUGAUACUGGUCCCCUUGAGUGCAGUUGAGGCAGGCGGAAUUCGUGGUGUAGCGGUGAAUGCUUAGAUACCACGAAGAACCCCGAUUGCGAAGGCAGCCUGCUAAGCUGUAACUGACGUUGAUGCUCGAAAGUGUGGGUAUCAAACAGGAUUAGAUACCCUGGUAGUCCACACGGUAAACGAUGGAUACUCGCUGUUGGCGAUAUACUGUCAGCGGCCAAGCGAAAGCAUUAAGUAUCCCACCUGGGGAGUACGCCGGCAACGGUGCAACUCAAAUGAAUUGACGGA